RNAcentral lists this ribosomal RNA (490 nucleotides) under uncultured bacterium. Its description in RNAcentral is "bacterial SSU rRNA". It matches the Rfam family "Bacterial small subunit ribosomal RNA", at positions 28 to 507 of the family's 1533-position model. The record is from RNAcentral.
GAUGAACGCUAGCGAUAGGCCUAACACAUGCAAGUCGAGGGGCAUCACAUGAAGUAGCAAUACGGAUGGUGGCGACCGGCGCACGGGUGAGUAACACGUAUGCAACCUGCCUUCAACAAGGGCAUAACCCGUUGAAAGACGGACUAAUACCCUAUAAUACAGGGGCCCCGCAUGGGGAUAUUUGUUAAAGAUUUAUCGGUUGAAGAUGGGCAUGCGUUCCAUUAGCUGGUUGGUGGGGUAACGGCCUACCAAGGCAACGAUGGAUAGGGGAACUGAGAGGUUUAUCCCCCACACUGGUACUGAGACACGGACCAGACUCCUACGGGAGGCAGCAGUGAGGAAUAUUGGUCAAUGGACGCAAGUCUGAACCAGCCACGUCGCGUGAAGGAAGACGGCCCUACGGGUUGUAAACUUCUUUUAUACGGGAAUAAAGUGCCCCACGUGUGGGGUUUUGCAAGUACCGUAUGAAUAAGGAUCGGCUAACUCCGUG